UGGGGAAUAUUGGACAAUGGGCGAAAGCCUGAUCCAGCCAUGCCGCGUGUGUGAAGAAGGUCUUCGGAUUGUAAAGCACUUUAAGUUGGGAGGAAGGGCAGUAAGCGAAUACCUUGCUGUUUUGACGUUACCGACAGAAUAAGCACCGGCUAACUCUGUGCCAGCAGCCGCGGUAAUACAGAGGGUGCAAGCGUUAAUCGGAAUUACUGGGCGUAAAGCGCGCGUAGGUGGUUCGUUAAGUUGAAUGUGAAAGCCCCGGGCUCAACCUGGGAACUGCAUCCAAAACUGGCGAGCUAGAUUAGGGCAGAGGGUGGUGGCAUUUCCUGUGUAGCGGUGGAUUGCGUAGAUAUAGGAAGGAACACCAGUGGCGAAGGCGACCACCUGGGCUCAUACUGACACUGAGGUGCGAAAGCGGGGGGAGCAAACAGG
RNAcentral lists this ribosomal RNA (429 nucleotides) under Pseudomonadota bacterium. Its description in RNAcentral is "Proteobacteria bacterium partial 16S ribosomal RNA". It matches the Rfam family "Bacterial small subunit ribosomal RNA", at positions 355 to 776 of the family's 1533-position model. The record is from RNAcentral. Lineage: Bacteria; Pseudomonadati; Pseudomonadota.